RNAcentral lists this ribosomal RNA (492 nucleotides) under uncultured bacterium. RNAcentral describes it as "partial 16S ribosomal RNA". It matches the Rfam family "Bacterial small subunit ribosomal RNA", at positions 29 to 507 of the family's 1533-position model. The record is from RNAcentral.
AGUGAACGCUGGCGGUAGGCCUAACACAUGCAAGUCGAACGGCAGCACAGUAAGAGCUUGCUCUUACGGGUGGCGAGUGGCGGACGGGUGAGGAAUACAUCGGAAUCUACUUUUUCGUGGGGGAUAACGUAGGGAAACUUACGCUAAUACCGCAUACGACCUACGGGUGAAAGCAGGGGAUCUUCGGACCUUGCGCGAUUGAAUGAGCCGAUGUCGGAUUAGCUAGUUGGCGGGGUAAAGGCCCACCAAGGCGACGAUCCGUAGCUGGUCUGAGAGGAUGAUCAGCCACACGGGAACUGAGACACGGUCCAGACUCCUACGGGAGGCAGCAGUGGGGAAUAUUGGACAAAGGGCGCAAGCCUGAUCCAGCCAUACCGCGUGGGUGAAGAAGGCCUUCGGGUUGUAAAGCCCUUUUGUUGGGAAAGAAAAGCAGCAGGUUAAUACCCCGCUGUUCUGACGGUACCCAAAGAAUAAGCACCGGCUAACUUCGUG